AGUGAACGCUGGCGGUAGGCCUAACACAUGCAAGUCGAACGGCAGCACAGUAAGAGCUUGCUCUUUCGGGUGGCGAGUGGCGGACGGGUGAGGAAUACAUCGGAAUCUACUUUUUCGUGGGGGAUAACGUAGGGAAACUUACGCUAAUACCGCAUACGACCUACGGGUGAAAGCAGGGGAUCUUCGGACCUUGCGCGAUUGCAUGAGCCGAUGUCGGAUUAGCUAGUUGGCGGGGUAAAGGCCCACCAAGGCGACGAUCCGUAGCUGGUCUGAGAGGAUGAUCAGCCACACUGGAACUGAGACACGGUCCAGACUCCUACGGGAGGCAGCAGUGGGGAAUAUUGGACAAUGGGCGCAAGCCCGAUCCAGCCAGACCGCGUGGGUGAAGAAGGCCUUCGGGUUGUAAAGCCCUUUUGUUGGGAAAGAAAAGCAGCAGGUUAAUACCCCGCUGUUCUGACGGUACCCAAAGAAUAAGCACCGGCUAACUUCGUG
This 492-nucleotide ribosomal RNA is filed under the name uncultured bacterium. Its description in RNAcentral is "partial 16S ribosomal RNA". It matches the Rfam family "Bacterial small subunit ribosomal RNA", at positions 29 to 507 of the family's 1533-position model. The record is from RNAcentral.